AAGAACGGACCUCCAGAACAAAUUAAGUUCUUAACCCGAGGUACCACUGUACGUCUAAAAUAGGCUAAUACAGUGGUACCUCGGGUUAAGUACUUAAUUCGUUCCGGAG
This is a non-coding RNA of Podarcis lilfordi (Lilford's wall lizard), 109 nucleotides long. Lineage: Eukaryota; Metazoa; Chordata; Lepidosauria; Squamata; Lacertidae. The record is from the annotation of a GenBank genome assembly.